Molecule: long non-coding RNA, 899 nt
Filed under: Capsicum annuum
Lineage: Eukaryota; Viridiplantae; Streptophyta; Magnoliopsida; Solanales; Solanaceae
Description: long non-coding RNA (CANN_LNC003581)
Source: RNAcentral
CAGCCCCAAAAUAGAAAAAUGCGGAAAUAUAAACCUACUUUAUUCUAGGCUAAUUCUAAACUAUCCUCCAUUGCUUUCUCUACCCGAUGUUCCGGGCCUUGAUCGUGUGCCGUCUUCAAGUACAUGAUACUUCAGGGCAUCCCCCGGUGAAUAAAUACAAUUCCUUCGGGGCAUUCCCCAGCAAAUAAAUACAAUGUCAAUCUCAUGCGAUAAACUAGAAAACUUCCAACACGUUCAACAUUCCACGCAUUCAACCAAAACAUCAUUCCUAAGUUUGUCUACCCGAACCUAAACUUUGCCUAUCCCAUUUCAACAUAUCAUAAAUCUAUCACAUUCAUGCUUAUUCCGAACUUAAGCAAAACAACGAUAAACCAACAUUAAUCUAACUUCAACCUUUUUAUCAUUCUCGCAAUUCCACUCCUCCCCACAAAUUUCCUCUCAAUCUAUGGUUAAUUAAUUCUUUGAUUAACAAUUCAUUUUUUCUCUUCAACAUACAAAACCUAUAUCAAUCAAUACACAACAAAGAUACAAACAUACCAAACACACAAAUCAUUCACGAUUACGUAAAAUUAAAGAAAGAGAAGAUAGAAUUGGACCUCAAAAGCUUUCGAUUGACUUAAGAAGAGAAAAUAAGAGCCGUCUUGAAACCUCGAAGAAUACCACUAAUAUCGACUCUCCAAAUCAGUUAUGAACUCAUCACCGCGAUAAACCCAAAAUUUGAUUCAAAGUGAAAUCCAAGAAGAACCAGAGACAAGUACACAGUCAUCCAAAAAAUCAAAACCCGUACACGAAAUCUCACCUAAUUCGACCCAAAUCUCAUCGGAAUCAAACCAAAAGGAUCGAUAUAACACUGAUAUAUCCCCUUUAAAAUGAAUGAGAAUAAUCUUUGGAAUUUUUAC